UGGGGAAUAUUGCACAAUGGGCGAAAGCCUGAUGCAGCAACGCCGCGUGAGUGAUGAAGGCCUUCGGGUUGUAAAGCUCUGUCUUUUGGGACGAUAAUGACGGUACCAAAGGAGGAAGCCACGGCUAACUACGUGCCAGCAGCCGCGGUAAUACGUAGGUGGCAAGCGUUGUCCGGAUUUUACUGGGCGUAAAGGAUGCGUAGGCGGAUUUUUAAGUGAGAUGUGAAAAUCCCUAAGCUUAACUUGGGGACUGCAUUUCAUACUGGAAAUCUAGAGUGCGGGAGAGGAGAAUGGAAUUCCUAGUGUAGCGGUGAAAUGCGUAGAGAUUAGGAAGAACACCAGUGGCGAAGGCGAUUCUCUGGACCGUAACUGACGCUGAGGCAUGAAAGCGUGGGUAGCAAACAGGAUUAGAUACCCUGGUAGUCCACGCCGUAAACGAUGAGUACUAGGUGUAGGAGGUAUCGACCCCUUCUGUGCCGCAGUUAACACAAUAAGUACUCCGCCUGGGAAGUACGAUCGCAAGAUUAAAACUCAAAGGAAUUGACGGGGGUCAUAGCUGUUUUU
RNAcentral lists this ribosomal RNA (564 nucleotides) under uncultured bacterium. RNAcentral describes it as "partial 16S ribosomal RNA". It matches the Rfam family "Bacterial small subunit ribosomal RNA", at positions 355 to 933 of the family's 1533-position model. The record is from RNAcentral.